RNAcentral lists this non-coding RNA (78 nucleotides) under Marmota marmota marmota (Alpine marmot). RNAcentral describes it as "Small nucleolar RNA U3". It matches the Rfam family "Small nucleolar RNA U3", at positions 1 to 76 of the family's 219-position model. From Rfam's summary of the family: Small nucleolar RNAs (snoRNAs) are involved in the processing and modification of rRNA in the nucleolus. There are two main classes of snoRNAs: the box C/D class, and the box H/ACA class. Lineage: Eukaryota; Metazoa; Chordata; Mammalia; Rodentia; Sciuridae. The record is from Rfam by way of RNAcentral. RNAcentral also lists the same sequence under 3 other names.
AAGACCAUACUUUCAGGGGUCAUUUCUAUAGUUUGUUACUGGAGAAGUUUUUCUGAUCAUGUACAGUACCAAUAAAAU